ACUGUUAAACCUGUCUAUAAAAACACCGGUUCUCGUCCGAUCACCGAAGUUAAGCAAUGUCGGGCCCGGUCAGUACUUGGGAGGGUGACCACCUGGUGCUGUAGGCU
Non-coding RNA from Cordylochernes scorpioides, 107 nucleotides. The record is from the annotation of a GenBank genome assembly. NCBI's taxonomy places the organism in Eukaryota, Metazoa, Arthropoda, Arachnida, Pseudoscorpiones, Chernetidae.